CUCGUAUAACCAGCAAGUGAUCGCGUGAUAGCAUUGGCUGUUUUUCAGGGACCGUCGCCAUGUUAUGCCGCUAUUUUAUAGUGUUGGAGGAGUUAAAUAUGCUUUGGGGCUCUAAAACAUGAAGCUCAAAAUGGACCUGAUUUUCAAUUUAUUGAAAAUGUCGAGAGGGGGACACUUUUCGGACAUGACAGACGUCAAUCCGAAGAUUUUAUUCGGAUCUGGACUCUUGCUAGCACCAGUUUUGAAGAGUACUUCUUUGACAACACUGGCAGAGUUAUGAAGGCUUUUGAUCUUCAAAUUCUUCAGGGUGGACAAGAAGGGAGGGGUACAGUGCCUUUGCCGCCACUCAUUUGUGAAUGGGAAAGGGGACGAAGAAUGUCAGACACAGUGAUACCCGUUUUGGGGGAAUGAUGAUCUUCGAAACCAAGAACGUACCUGGAUGCAAUAAUGCAAUAAGACAGUUAUGUGCAUGAUCUAUGUAAUGUUUGGGACACUUUUUAUUUGGUACAGGCAGAAAACUUUUCAAUGUAUCUUUGCUGUACAGGUCAAAUGUUAUGAACCCUGAUUGUAUUAAUUGACUUCCAUCAAGUGAAACAAAAUUGAAAGUUAAACGACUAUCAUGGCAUGUGACCUAACUUGUUGCCAUGGUACAUCAUAAAUAUAUAAACAAUAUCCAUUGAUUAAAAAUAAGCAGUGUUCAAAUUUUCAAACCUGUACAGUUAAGGGUAGCUGGUUAAGGGAAUAUAAUGCAAAUGAAAUAUCAUGAAGCUUCUAAUCGGGACACGACCAUGCAUUUAGGCAUGGAUUGCAGCAUCAUCAGGCAGUGCUUAAAAUAUUAGAAUCAUGAUUUACCCAUAAAGACAGACACAUCAAUAUAUUUCUAUAUUUGAUCAUUAAAUGACAAUGGAGGUUGUUUAAGGAAUUGCAUAGCCUUUGCAAUACAUACCAAAGAUGUGUUCAUGAAAUAGUUCAUCAAUUUUCAAUCAUUACAAGAGUGUUAUUGUGAUUCGGUUUAUUCGCUAGAUCUGCACACAUCACAUUAGUCUUCUCUUUGAUGAGCUACUUUUGUAACUUUUUUUCUGUUAUCUUCUUUCUUUCAUAAAUUUCUACUUUCCUUGAGUUCUAUAUUUCAUAUCCUGUCUUAUUAUUGAUCUUCUUUAGUAUAAAAAAUAAUAAAAAAGUAGUUUGUUUUUAUUUAUGUUACCUACAUGUACAUGAUCUUAAAUUAUCGAGUCUGUGUUAUCCUGACCAUUGUCCUUUACACUUGGGCAUUAGGUAAAAACAUGCAUAUCAGAGAUAAUCAGAAAGCUGAAGUAGUUG
Molecule: long non-coding RNA, 1320 nt
Organism: Mya arenaria
Lineage: Eukaryota; Metazoa; Mollusca; Bivalvia; Myida; Myidae
Exons: 5
Source: RefSeq, a predicted model, not a curated record